Molecule: ribosomal RNA, 99 nt
Organism: Chlorocebus sabaeus (green monkey)
Lineage: Eukaryota; Metazoa; Chordata; Mammalia; Primates; Cercopithecidae
Source: Ensembl
GAUGAUGGCCAUACCACUUCGAUCCCAUUAACUAAGCAGGGUCAGGCCUGGCCAGUACUUGGAUGGGAGACCACCUGGGAAUACCAGGCUCUGUAGGCU